This 554-nucleotide long non-coding RNA is filed under the name Hordeum vulgare. RNAcentral's name for it is "long non-coding RNA (HVUL_LNC008425)". Lineage: Eukaryota; Viridiplantae; Streptophyta; Magnoliopsida; Poales; Poaceae. The record is from RNAcentral.
CGAUAUAUCAAGAUCAGAACACCUAAAUAAUUCCAAUGUUGGAUAUUACAUGGAUAUCAUAAGAAGGUUUCAUUACUAGACCUACAGUAUCCAUUGUUGUUGUACAUGACGUCAUAGUGCAACUCUAGGUGACACAGACUAUGCAGUAACAAUGCAUAUAGUAUGGGAUAUCGACCCUACAGAAAGAAUUCAAGAUAUCUUUUCCCCAUUUUUGCUGGCAGGACAACCGACAUUGUGACUCCGUGCAUACAUGAGCUCCAAAUGCAACUCCACUAAAACAUUGCUCUGUGUAGAGAAGAACACACAUAAUUAAAAUAAGUCCAUAUGGAAAAACUUCCAGAGAUAUUUGUGUAGUUCAUCUGAAAAUAUUAUUCUAGUCUGGUUGAUACCUGAAAGGAAAUAUAUAUAGGGAAAGGGAGAGCAAUUUCUUACCAACAUGAAUAGAAUUUCCGAGCUGCACAAUCACCAGGAGGCAAAGAAGAAUAGUUCUCCCUUCCAUUACACUAGACAGAAUGAUCUUCUCCUCUCAGUUUUGGUGUACAAAAGCGUACCCA